Hyla sarda is the source of this 546-nucleotide long non-coding RNA. RefSeq lists it as uncharacterized. The transcript is spliced from 3 exons. NCBI's taxonomy places the organism in Eukaryota, Metazoa, Chordata, Amphibia, Anura, Hylidae. The record is from RefSeq and is a predicted model, not a curated record.
GAAGAACAUGAUUAGUAAUACAGUAAUUAUAAAAUAAUUAUUUAUUUCUAAUAAAGGCUUGUCGAAGUGAUGAACCCACAGCGGAUGAAAGGGAAGAAUUUUAUCAAAUUGAUGAUACUUCAGAGGAGGAAGUUAAUAUUGAAGAAGAGGAGUCAGAAACAGAAGAGAGUGAGUAGGAAACCAUUACUCCUAUUCGUGAAGAUACUCCAGAAACAAAAGCACUGAAGGCUCGUUUGAGGAAAAGGGCAGAGGAACACGGAGAACUGCAGGAAGACUGCUUUCAAAAAGACCCGGAGUGGUCAAGUGUAGAAGAUAUACCAACUGAAUCAAAUUACAAGCAUCCUCACAUUGGUAAUACCCGUUGGUGCCAAUGCAACAACUGCACGUCCAUGAAAACGAGGGAUGAAAGUUUAUGCUGCCAGGAAGAGGAUGCAUUGAAUCCCCACUUUGAUCGAGGGAUAACAUGCAUCCUUGAUCACGAGGAGCUGCGAAAUCUACGUCUCCAAAAAAAAUUCUAGAAUUGAUGGCGGAAUUUAGAAGAAAAAC